This 920-nucleotide unclassified non-coding RNA is filed under the name Leishmania donovani. Its description in RNAcentral is "gene:LdHU3.23.0370(CDS-product:hypothetical_prote in_conserved)". Lineage: Eukaryota; Euglenozoa; Kinetoplastea; Trypanosomatida; Trypanosomatidae. The record is from RNAcentral.
CGGGGUGGCGGCGAUCGUUCACCGCAGAAGACAGCCUCUGCCCCUUCUUGGUUGCCCUUAACGCCCUUGCGCACUCGCCCUCGACCUUGUACUUUGUUGGCUGUGCGAGUUUUGAGCUGUCACUAAUCCGCUCUCUUGCCACCCUCCUCUUCCGCUCACGUCACUACGCGUAGGUGCCGUCAUGCAAGUCGGCUGCUCUCAUGGCCGGCCAGAUCCGCAAUAGCUGGCGGCGCCGCAUCUACCUGUGGCUCACCACCUCCACCCGCGACCGUCGCAACCGGACUGAUGAUGUCGGCACCCAUCUUCAGGCAGCGCGCAGAGAGCGAAACAAGGUGCAUAGAGUCAACGACUUGCUCCAUGCUUCUGGCAUGUGGCACCACCCCCAUGACACGCUGGAAGGCAUCAUUCUUCAAGGAAUGGGGAAGGGGCUUGCGUGGAGCUUCGUGAUUGUCCCUGCGUGUUUUGUGCUGACCUUCAUCGUCUGCAUAACCUCGUAUCGUGGCGGUGACUGGCGCGCACAGCAACAGCACGCGCAAGAGGAGUGGCAGCAUCACCUGCUGGAAGCGGCGCAGAAACGGGCGAUAGCCGACAAGGAACUGCAGUCUGUAUGCAAUUACGCCAUGGAGGCAAAGUCUUUACUUCGCCCCAUUCCGGAGGAACGGCGCUGGGCUGCGCAGCUAGAGGCGAACAUGGCCUUCAUCAACGAAAAGCUUCAGCGCCACUUAGGCGAUGACGAGUCAACGCGAGAACGCGGGUGAAAGGUGCAUGCAAGCGUCCAAGUGCGUCGGCGUUCGUGCACCCCGCUCCCCCACUUCUCCAGCUUGCAGAGACACACAAUGGUUUUCCCGCUCUUCCUACUGGCGCCGCCCCUCGUGCGCAUUGGCGUGUACGCGUGCCGCACCAGAUGGUAGUGCGUGCCG